GGAGUUGAUUCCUGGAAAGUGUUGGUGUGGAUUUUAGUCGUUACUGCAUUUUAACACUGUGGGUGUUAAAUUAGACCACACCUUCAUUUCCUGUGGAGCUUCGCAUUUCAGAAUCUUCGGUCGCCAUUUUUUCUUGCUGCUGCGGUGGUGAUAUGCUGGUUCCUGAGAAGAGAUGAAGAAUUCAAAGUCAGCUUUUUAAGACAGCCCCAAGACUCCUCGCAACUUGUGUUCAAAUGUGAGGCUGUUGUCAGGUGAUGAAUGCAAGGAAGAGGCACUCAACUGACAUGAAACAUGUCAAAGACAACAUGAAGGUGACAUUUCAACAUAGGCAAAAAGUGGUUCAAGAACCUGCCA
Long non-coding RNA from Oreochromis niloticus (Nile tilapia), 354 nucleotides. RefSeq lists it as uncharacterized. The transcript has 2 exons. Lineage: Eukaryota; Metazoa; Chordata; Actinopteri; Cichliformes; Cichlidae. The record is from RefSeq and is a predicted model, not a curated record.